AUCAUCUGAGGAUCUUGUUAAAAUGCAGAUUCAGAUUCAGUAGGGCUGGUGUGAGGCCUGAGAUUCUGCAUUUCUAACAUGCUCCCAGGUAAUGUUGA
Molecule: microRNA precursor, 98 nt
Filed under: Equus asinus (donkey)
Lineage: Eukaryota; Metazoa; Chordata; Mammalia; Perissodactyla; Equidae
Also listed under: 1 other name
Description: mir-544 microRNA precursor family
Rfam family: mir-544 microRNA precursor family
Source: Rfam by way of RNAcentral